GAAAAGGAUUAUAUGUGAGGAAAUGGAUGGAUAACCCCAUUGCUUUCAUAGGUUUGUUGGUAGUGCUUAUUGCUGAAUUGGGAUCAAGUGACAUUUAAUAAGGCCAGUCUUGAACAUUACUGAAUUGUACCUGUGAAAAGGAAGUUGGAGUCUGCAGUGGCUGGACCAAGAAACAGGCCUGUCAGAUCCUGGGAGGAACUACUCCUCCCUGCAUGCCAUCCUCGCAGCUCUGCAGAGUGUCUCCAUUCGCUGCCUGAAGAGGACAUGGGACAGAGUUUCCAGGAGCGGCCCUCAAAUAAACUUGCCACCCUGGUGAGGAAGCUGCAGAGAGCACGGCAUGGGCUGCCAAAGAAGCUUGGCACUUUCCUCACUGACCUCUUGAUGUUGGAUACUGCAAUGGAGGACUACCUGGAGGUGGGUGAGCCUGAG
Molecule: long non-coding RNA, 429 nt
Filed under: Neogale vison (American mink)
Lineage: Eukaryota; Metazoa; Chordata; Mammalia; Carnivora; Mustelidae
Description: Neovison vison (American mink) lncRNA (ENSNVIG00000014568.1)
Source: RNAcentral